CGUGUAGGCGGUGCGGUAAGUCGGGCGUGAAAUCCCCGGGCUUAACCCGGGGGGGUCGUUCGAAACUGCCGUGCUAGGGUACGGGAGAGGGCAGUGGAAUUCCCGGUGUAGCGGUGAAAUGCGUAGAUAUCGGGAGGAACAUCUGCGGCGAAGGCGGCUGCCUGGACCGUUACCGACGCUGAGGCGCGAAAGCUAGGGGAGCAAACAGGAUUAGAUACCCUGGUAGCCUAGCCCUAAACGAUGAGCACUUGGUGUGGCCCCUUACGGGGCCGUGCCGGAGCUAACGCGUUAAGUCGCUCCGCCUGGGGAGUACGGUCGCAAGGCUGAA
Molecule: ribosomal RNA, 328 nt
Filed under: uncultured bacterium
Lineage: Bacteria
Description: bacterial SSU rRNA
Rfam family: Bacterial small subunit ribosomal RNA
Source: RNAcentral